Molecule: long non-coding RNA, 141 nt
Filed under: Mus spicilegus (steppe mouse)
Lineage: Eukaryota; Metazoa; Chordata; Mammalia; Rodentia; Muridae
Description: lncRNA (ENSMSIG00000011944.1)
Source: RNAcentral
UUGAAGACUCUGAGUGACUUGACAGCCACACCUCCAAAGUCCGUUGCCCUUGGCAACCAUUGAAGUAGAAGAACAUCCUCUUUAGACAGCAGCAGGACUCUUCUGUCAGCUUUCCAGGAUUGUGACCAGUGUACCAGCUGU